UACGGAGGGGGCUAGCGUUGUUCGGAAUUACUGGGCGUAAAGCGCGCGUAGGCGGACCUGCAAGUCGGGGGUGAAAGUCAAAGGCUCAACCUUUGAAAGCCGGUGGAUACUGUGAGGCUAGAGUACGGAAGAGGCGAGUGGAAUUCCUGGUGUAGCGGUGGAAUGCGCAGAUAUCAGGAGGAACACCAAUAGCGAAGGCAGCUCGCUGGGACGGUACUGACGCUAAGGCGCGAAAGCGUGGGGAGCAAACAGG
Molecule: ribosomal RNA, 253 nt
Filed under: uncultured bacterium
Lineage: Bacteria
Description: partial 16S ribosomal RNA
Rfam family: Bacterial small subunit ribosomal RNA
Source: RNAcentral